Molecule: ribosomal RNA, 440 nt
Filed under: uncultured bacterium
Lineage: Bacteria
Description: partial 16S ribosomal RNA
Rfam family: Bacterial small subunit ribosomal RNA
Source: RNAcentral
CCUACGGGUGGCAGCAGUGGGGAAUAUUGCACAAUGGGGGAAACCCUGAUGCAGCGACGCCGCGUGAGUGAAGAAGUAACUCGUUAUGUAAAGCUCUAUCAGCAGGGAAGAAAAUGACGGUACCUGAGUAAGAAGCCCCGGCUAACUACGUGCCAGCAGCCGCGGUAAUAAGUAGGGGGCAAGCGUUAUCCGGAUUUACUGGGUGUAAAGGGAGCGUAGACGGGAGUGCAAGUCUGGAGUGAAAGGCGGGGGCUCAACCCCCGGACUGCUCUGGAAACUGUACGGCUGGAGUGCAGGAGAGGUAAGUGGAAUGCCUAGUGUAGCGGUGAAAUGCGUAGAUAUUAGGAGGAACACCAGUGGCGAAGGCGGCUUACUGGACUGUAACUGACGUUGAGGCUCGAAAGCGUGGGGAGCAAACAGGAUUAGAUACCCCGGUAGUC